RNAcentral lists this ribosomal RNA (235 nucleotides) under uncultured bacterium. RNAcentral describes it as "partial 16S ribosomal RNA". It matches the Rfam family "Bacterial small subunit ribosomal RNA", at positions 96 to 334 of the family's 1533-position model. The record is from RNAcentral.
UGGCGGACGGGUGAGUAAUGUCUGGGAAACUGCCCGAUGGAGGGGGAUAACUACUGGAAACGGUAGCUAAUACCGCAUAACGUCGCAAGACCAAAGAGGGGGACCUUCGGGCCUCUUGCCAUCGGAUGUGCCCAGAUGGGAUUAGCUUGUAGGUAAGGUAACGGCUUACCUAGGCGACGAUCCCUAACUGGUCUGAGAGGAUGACCAGCCACACUGGAACUGAGACACGGUCCAG